GGAGAGGUCGCCUAGUCCGGCCGAGGGCGCAUGAUUGGAAAUCAUGUAUACCGCAAGGUAUCGAGGGUUCGAAUCCCUCCCUCUCCGCCA
RNAcentral lists this transfer RNA (90 nucleotides) under Coriobacteriales bacterium. RNAcentral's name for it is "tRNA-Ser". It matches the Rfam family "tRNA". Rfam says of the family: Transfer RNA (tRNA) molecules are approximately 80 nucleotides in length. Their secondary structure includes four short double-helical elements and three loops (D, anti-codon, and T loops). Lineage: Bacteria; Bacillati; Actinomycetota; Coriobacteriia; Coriobacteriales. The record is from RNAcentral.